AUGAACUUCCACGACGUCCACACGCUGCAGCAGGCGCUGGACGUCGUCCCGCCGCCUCGUCUUUGCACGGCACAAGACCGUGCGUAUCACGCUGAGCGGCAGAACCGCCUCCUCGUCGCCCAUGAGGACGAGCGGAUCAUGGCGGAGUGGCGCCAGCAACACCCGGAGGACGUCACCUACGAGCAAGCCUACUGGGCAAGGCGCCGCGAGGAGGAGACGCAAAGGCGCCGCGCUGAGCGGUUGGACAGGCGUCGGCGGAAGGCCCUGGCGCUGUCCCAACAUGUGGCUCGAUACCUCGGAUCAGACCAGCGAGGAUGGCGACGAUGA
Molecule: ribosomal RNA, 327 nt
Filed under: Triticum aestivum (bread wheat)
Lineage: Eukaryota; Viridiplantae; Streptophyta; Magnoliopsida; Poales; Poaceae
Description: partial small subunit ribosomal RNA
Source: RNAcentral